RNAcentral lists this transfer RNA (72 nucleotides) under Candidatus Kaiserbacteria bacterium. Its description in RNAcentral is "tRNA-Glu". It matches the Rfam family "tRNA". From Rfam's summary of the family: Transfer RNA (tRNA) molecules are approximately 80 nucleotides in length. Their secondary structure includes four short double-helical elements and three loops (D, anti-codon, and T loops). Lineage: Bacteria; Candidatus Kaiseribacteriota. The record is from RNAcentral.
GGCCCCAUCGUCUAACGGCUAGGACGCCAGGUUUUCAUUCUGGAAAUCGGAGUUCGAUUCUCCGUGGGGUCA